This 74-nucleotide transfer RNA is filed under the name Camelus bactrianus (Bactrian camel). It matches the Rfam family "tRNA". From Rfam's summary of the family: Transfer RNA (tRNA) molecules are approximately 80 nucleotides in length. Lineage: Eukaryota; Metazoa; Chordata; Mammalia; Artiodactyla; Camelidae. The record is from Rfam by way of RNAcentral. RNAcentral also lists the same sequence under 2 other names.
GAGGGUAUAGCUCAAGUGGUAGAGCACAUGCUUAGCACGCACGAGGUCCCGGGUUCAAUUCCCCAGUACCUCCA